This 458-nucleotide ribosomal RNA is filed under the name uncultured bacterium. RNAcentral describes it as "partial 16S ribosomal RNA". It matches the Rfam family "Bacterial small subunit ribosomal RNA", at positions 338 to 795 of the family's 1533-position model. The record is from RNAcentral.
CCUACGGGUGGCAGCAGUGAGGAAUAUUGGUCAAUGGGCGAGAGCCUGAACCAGCCAAGCCGCGUGAGGGAGUACUGCCCUAUGGGUUGUAAACCUCUUUUGUCGGGGAGCAAAAGCCGGACGUGUCCGGCUGUGAGAGUACCAGAAGAAAAAGCACCGGCAAACUACGGGCCAGACGCCGGGGGUAUACGGAGGAUGCGAGGGUUAUACGGGUGUAUGGGGGUUAAAGGGUGCGCAGGGGGAUUUUUAAGUCAGCGGUCAAAGCGUGGGGCUCAACCCCAUCCAGCCGUUGAAACUGGGGAUCUGGAGUGUGCGAGAGGUAUGCGGAAUGCGUGGUGUAGCGGUGAAAUGCAUAGAUAUCACGCAGAACCCCGAUUGCGAAGGCAGCAUACCGGUGCACAACUGACGCUGAGGCACGAAAGCGUGGGUAUCGAACAGGAUUAGAUACCCGGGUAGUC